UAGGAUGCCUGGAACUUGCCGGU
This 23-nucleotide microRNA is filed under the name Human gammaherpesvirus 8. Its description in RNAcentral is "kshv-miR-K12-5-3p". Its record names the gene kshv-miR-K12-5-3p. Lineage: Duplodnaviria; Heunggongvirae; Peploviricota; Herviviricetes; Herpesvirales; Orthoherpesviridae. The record is from miRBase by way of RNAcentral.